Molecule: long non-coding RNA, 216 nt
Organism: Anneissia japonica
Lineage: Eukaryota; Metazoa; Echinodermata; Crinoidea; Comatulida; Comatulidae
Exons: 3
Source: RefSeq, a predicted model, not a curated record
CGUCAAUUUGAUGGCAGGUUUGUGACGGCACAGCUUCGAUACACCGGUAUGCUUGAGACGACUAGGAUUAGGAAGCUGGGCUACGCAGUGCGACCUCUCUUCGAAGAUUUUGUCAAAAGAUACCGUAUCUUGGCGUUGAGCCCAAAGUUGGUAACUGACAACCGUGGCGUUGUGAAGAUCUUAACUGACAUGAAAUUGACGGAUUGGCAGAUUGGG